This 462-nucleotide ribosomal RNA is filed under the name uncultured bacterium. RNAcentral describes it as "bacterial SSU rRNA". It matches the Rfam family "Bacterial small subunit ribosomal RNA", at positions 331 to 792 of the family's 1533-position model. The record is from RNAcentral.
CCAGACUCCUACGGGAGGCAGCAGUGGGGAAUAUUGCACAAUGGGGGAAACCCUGAUGCAGCGACGCCGCGUGAGUGAAGAAGUAUUUCGGUAUGUAAAGCUCUAUCAGCAGGGAAGAAAUAGCGACCUUUGGGUCGCCAGACGGUACCUGACUAAGAAGCCCCGGCUAACUACGUGCCAGCAGCCGCGGUAAUACGUAGGGGGCAAGCGUUAUCCGGAUUUACUGGGUGUAAAGGGAGCGUAGACGGCAGCACAAGUCUGAAGUGAAAUGCCGGGGCUUAACCCCGGAACUGCUUUGGAAACUGUAAAGCUGGAGUGCAGGAGAGGUAAGCGGAAUUCCUAGUGUAGCGGUGAAAUGCGUAGAUAUUAGGAGGAACACCAGUGGCGAAGGCGGCUUACUGGACUGCAACUGACGUUGAGGCUCGAAAGCGUGGGGAGCAAACAGGAUUAGAUACCCGCGUA